This is a long non-coding RNA of Pogoniulus pusillus (Red-fronted tinkerbird), 456 nucleotides long. RefSeq lists it as uncharacterized. The record is from RefSeq and is a predicted model, not a curated record. Lineage: Eukaryota; Metazoa; Chordata; Aves; Piciformes; Lybiidae. The transcript has 5 exons.
AAGUGGCCCCAGGAAGGGCAAGUCUCAAGCUUGCCCAUUGUGGGCAGAAGGAUCCUCCUCGGAUCGUCACUGAUGAUUUGUACACAUGGGAGAAAAGGACCUUAGGAAAAAGCAUGACUAUUGUUAACAGUGAUUUGCAGAGUGUUCUGAUGUAGCUAUAAGUGGCUGAAGCAAAGCUGGCUCUCUGAGCCUGUUUGUGUACAGGGUUUGAAAGAAGAACACAAGACGUAAAUGAAGAUUUAAGAACAGAUUCUGUGAUUACACUUCAAUUGCUAGUGAAUCAGCUGGUCUCAGUUCAGAUUUGUGCAAAUCCAAGAUGACUCUUCUGGUUGCAUCUGCAUAGCUCUUUUCCCUUUGCUCCUCACGAGGUCAUUGCUGGCUUGUUAAACUCACCAGAGAAGCUGCAUCGUGACCUUUACAAGCUGGCAUGAUCUCCUGUAAUCCCAAAUUCUACAU